GAUUAGAUACCCUGGUAGUCCACGCCGUAAACGAUGUCGACUUGGAGGUUGUUCCCUUGAGGAGUGGCUUCCGGAGCUAACGCGUUAAGUCGACCGCCUGGGGAGUACGGCCGCAAGGUUAAAACUCAAAUGAAUUGACGGGGGCCCGCACAAGCGGUGGAGCAUGUGGUUUAAUUCGAUGCAACGCGAAGAACCUUACCUACUCUUGACAUCCACGGAAUUUGGCAGAGAUGCCUUAGUGCCUUCGGGAACCGUGAGACAGGUGCUGCAUGGCUGUCGUCAGCUCGUGUUGUGAAAUGUUGGGUUAAGUCCCGCAACGAGCGCAACCCUUAUCCUUUGUUGCCAGCGAUUCGGUCGGGAACUCAAAGGAGACUGCCGGUGAUAAACCGGAGGAAGGUGGGGAUGACGUCAAGUCAUCAUGGCCCUUACGAGUAGGGCUACACACGUGCUACAAUGGCGCAUACAAAGAGAAGCGACCUCGCGAGAGCAAGCGGACCUCACAAAGUGCGUCGUAGUCCGGAUCGGAGUCUGCAACUCGACUCCGUGAAGUCGGAAUCGCUAGUAAUCGUGGAUCAGAAUGCCACGGUGAAUACGUUCCCGGGCCUUGUACACACCGCCCGUCACACCAUGGGAGUGGGUUGCAAAAGAAGUAGGUAGCUUAACCUUCGGGAGGGCGCUUACCACUUUGUGAUUCAUGACUGGGGUGAAGUCGUAACAAGG
RNAcentral lists this ribosomal RNA (720 nucleotides) under uncultured bacterium. Its description in RNAcentral is "bacterial SSU rRNA". It matches the Rfam family "Bacterial small subunit ribosomal RNA", at positions 776 to 1496 of the family's 1533-position model. The record is from RNAcentral.